GUGGGGAAUUUUGGACAAUGGGCGCAAGCCUGAUCCAGCAAUGCCGCGUGUGUGAAGAAGGCCUUCGGGUUGUAAAGCACUUUUGUCCGGAAAGAAAUCUCCUGGGUUAAUACCUCGGGGGGAUGACGGUACCGGAAGAAUAAGCACCGGAUAACUACGUGCCAGCAGCCGCGGUAAUACGUAGGGUGCGAGCGUUAAUCGGAAUUACUGGGAGUAAAGCGUGCGCAGGCGGCUAUGCAAGACAGAUGUGAAAUCCCCGGGCUCAACCUGGGAACUGCAUUUGUGACUGCAUGGCUAGAGUGCGUCAGAGGGAGGUGGAAUUCCGCGUGUAGCAGUGAAAUGCGUCGAGAUGCGGAUGAACACCGAUGGCGAAGGCAGCCUCCUGGGAUGACACUGACGCUCAUGCACGAAAGCGUGGGGAGCAAACAGGAUUAGAAACCCUUGUAGUCC
Molecule: ribosomal RNA, 450 nt
Filed under: uncultured bacterium
Lineage: Bacteria
Description: partial 16S ribosomal RNA
Rfam family: Bacterial small subunit ribosomal RNA
Source: RNAcentral